AGGUGGUGCGAUGGUUGUCGUCAGCUCGUGUCGUGAGAUGUUGGUUAAGUCCCGCAACGAGCGCAACCCUCGCCUCUAGUUGCCAGCAUUCGGUUGGGCACUCUAGAGGGACUGCCGGCGACAAGUCGGAGGAAGGUGGGGAUGACGUCAAAUCAUCAUGCCCCUUAUGACCUGGGCUACACACGUGCUACAAUGGGCGGUACAAAGGGCUGCGAACCCGCGAGGGGGAGCGAAUCCCAAAAAGCCGCUCUCAGUUCGGAUUGCAGGCUGCAACUCGCCUGCAUGAAGCCGGAAUCGCUAGUAAUCGCGGAUCAGCAUGCCGCGGUGAAUACGUUCCCGGGCCUU
This 345-nucleotide ribosomal RNA is filed under the name uncultured Geobacillus sp. RNAcentral describes it as "bacterial SSU rRNA". It matches the Rfam family "Bacterial small subunit ribosomal RNA", at positions 1036 to 1382 of the family's 1533-position model. The record is from RNAcentral. Lineage: Bacteria; Bacillati; Bacillota; Bacilli; Caryophanales; Anoxybacillaceae.